Molecule: unclassified non-coding RNA, 4273 nt
Filed under: Leishmania donovani
Lineage: Eukaryota; Euglenozoa; Kinetoplastea; Trypanosomatida; Trypanosomatidae
Description: gene:LdHU3.18.1520(CDS-product:hypothetical_prote in_conserved)
Source: RNAcentral
GUAGACUCACACCCACCGGAUUCGAAACGUGGUACUUGUCCCCACCACCACUACCACCACCUCUUUCGCUCCCUUGCGUGAGCGUGUGUGUGUGUGUGUGUCGGGGGAGGGUUCUGGUGUCGAGAAUCAGCCACACGAGCGCCCACUUUGCUCAACCCCCGAUAUGUGCACGAACCCGCCGCCGCGCGCACAUGAGCUCGCCUGUCUGUGAGGCGCACGCAUACACACACGCACACACACAUACAGGAACAUCGCUUCUUCUGUGAAGGUGCCAUCGGAGGUGCACGGAUGCGGAGGGCGAUAGGGGAGGUCGCAUCCCAGUCGCCCACUCAAAGUGCGAUGCACUUGCGGCAUAUGCACACCAAUGCACGUGCGCUCGCCCUCACGACUCCUCGAGUCUCGCGCCGGUUUUAUGCGGGCAAGGCCUCGCUGACAGGCCGCAUUGCGCCGCCAUCACAACCGCAAUCGGCACCCCAACUACAGACGCCGCCGGGGUCGUCUUUGCGGCCUUCGACGCCGGCCUCGUUGAAUGCAUUGUCGAAGAGUGUGCGCAGUCAUCUCGCGGCCCACCCUUCUUCCUCUUCCAGCGCAAAUGAGCUGUGGGUGGCCGACCGACUUUUCGCCCUCCUCUUGCAGCCUGCAAAGGACACCUACGAGGCAUCGUCCACCACCGCGCUGCCGCCAGCGCUCGAACCGCUCCACCCUCUCCUGUGCGUGCGCGUGCUUCAACGGCUCGGGUAUGCUGUGUGGGAAUGUGAAGCGGCGGCGCAGGAUUGCUCGACGCAGCAUGCCGCGGCGGCUCGAAAGAAAGGGUGGACGGUGCGGCACACCUACCCCUCUCUGGAAAGCAGCAGCGGCGCUAUCGUGACAUCCGCCGAGUCGCUGCCCUCCUCCCGGUCAGUUGCCUCCGCCAUCUACGCCAACACGGAGCGUGUUGCAGGGGCGGUGCUGGCGCCACUGAUGCCUCUAGUAGGCGAUGGCACCGCUGCCCAUCCGCCACACUCGCAGGUGCUGCCAGUCCUUCCGCUGAUCGUGGAGUGGCUGUGCACACUGCCCAUUGCCGAGUCAGCCGUGCCGCUGGACCGCUGGCUGCCUUGGGUAGUCGCGAUCUACACAGAGGAUCAUCACAACCGUCGACCCCUGUUGCAGUCCCCACGGUUGCCGCCGUUGUUGAACCUGCUCCCGCAUCUCCUACGCAAGCUGAGCGUACAUCUCGAAGAUUCCACAGUGGCCGAGCAGGAGGCGACGCGGUGCUCACCGAACAUCUUGUGUGAGCACGGCCUUGCAUCGCUUUUCGCGUUGAGCCUCGCUGGCCCUGAAGCGACCGAAGACGAGCGAGGGGAACGUGGAUCAAGGGACGACAGCGGGGCGACUGCGAAGGCAACACCAUCGCCGGCGCAUCUCGCUUCUCAUCAGCACUCGAGGUCAACACUCGCCGAUGCUUUGUGGUGGCACGGCGAGGCACCUCUGCUGCGCCUGGCUGGAGUGCGGCGGGCAUUGAAACAGUCAGGGCAGACGGUGCCGCUUGCCUCAUCCGCUGCUGCUGCUGCCAAACCUCUCCAUACGCCGGCGACAGCGACUAGCGGCAGGCUUUCCACGCCACUGUCGCACCUGCAACAGGAUCAGGAGCUCUCGUGCUCGCAUUCGGAACGCGUGCCGCAUGUGGCAAUAGCGCUUGACGAUGACGAUGUCUACCGCCGCUUCCUGCUCCGCCUGGCGGCGCUGCAAAACAUCUCCCUUGUUAACGCAGCGGCAUCUGCACCCAGGGGGAUCACGCCAGCGCUGGUAUCCGUGCGGCUGACAGGGGCGGCUGCUCUGGGGGCAACAGAAUUGUGCCGUGAUCAUGCACCUGCUCCACUAAGCGAGGACCCUGACAUGAUUCUGCGCUUCAUUCAACCUCUACACGAGUACGUUCUCUUGCUUCAGGAGAGCUCGGCGCAGUGGAGCGGCACGGCGGGUCCGAACGCGGCCGCGACUACUGGCGUGCUACCUGUGCAGCUAACCUUUACAGGCGUCGCUCACGUACUCAUGGCCAUCUUUGGCCGCCUGGAGGAGCUUAAGCAGCAGAGCCGUUGCCGAGGUGCAGCUGCCGUCACGCCUGCGCUGCGAGCGCAGGCGUCUCUCUCUGUGCCUGCCGGCAGCUCCGUCACCACCGCCUUCGCGCUGCUACCGCAGAAGGCGCGCAUCCACGCUCUCAAAAGCCUCUGUGAACUUCUCCUGCGCCAUGUACGUGCUGUGCAGGCCUCGAAAUCGGCAUCCAGCACCCUGCCCACCGGUGCGGCUCCUGAUUGCGCCCCAUGGUUUGUGGAUGUGGAGUUGCCCCAACAGGAGGCGACUCUGCGCCGGCUGUGUGGCGCGGCGCGCGCGCUGGUGCGGGUGGUGAUGGAGGAGCGCCGCCGCAGUCUUGAUGAGGAAGGCCCGGAGGGCUCAGUGCUAACCGCGUCCUCUGUAGUGGCCGCUCAGCAGCAUCGCGCUGCCGGUGGUGGCCCCGGCGCCUCCACGACAAGCACAUCGCCUCCGGCCACCCCGCUAACAUCCAUCAUCUCGUUUGAGCGCGCGCUGCGGAGUUUGGCCUUCCGCGUCGUGGAGCCGGCGCUGUGGCGGCUGCAUGAAGUGUGCGCCGAGGCCCAGACAAGUGUUCCUGUACAUGUCCUGACCUUCGAGGAGUGGCGGUUGUACUUGAGUGUCGCCAACGCUCAUGAGGCAGAGCGAGACAUUCUCGCAGGCCGCUUGGCCUCCACGGCGGUCGAGCACGUUGACCAGGUGUACAGCCCCAUCAUGGCGUCCGCCGUCUCGCUGUUUGAUUGCGUCGGUGGCAGGGCUGGCUUGCGCACGGCGCAGCAGGUGCUGCCUCACCCCGGCCAGCAGCCCGUGUCUGCUCUUGUGGAGGGGAUCCGGCUUACAGCGCUGCAGUGUCUGCUGUUUGACGGGCUCCGCAGCGGUGGAUCGUUCUCAUCCACCUCCGCUGCGCUUUCAAACACUCGAGAGGAGGAAGCUGGUUACAUGGACUGGGUUUUGCACCAUCUUCCACAUGCGUUCUUCAGCGUGUGGCAACGCACGGAGCCGCCACCGACCCUGACCGAUCUGCCCUCCCCCGCAAAUGAGGCAGCGGAGGCUGCGGUGGCUGACCAACAGCUCCUGCGCCGUCGGCUGGGGCUUCUUACACUGCUGUUGCAUGCACGCGUGCUGAGUGCUCGAGAGCUGCUGCGUCGAGACGCAGCCCUGCUGCCCGGCACCACUCCAUCGAGGUUCACCAUGAAUGCAAAUCCGACGCACACGCGGAGGUGGUUUGGCGACGUCCCUUCAUCGCUCGACUCGUUGCUGCAUUGCAUGACGAAGAAUAGCGCCACGCUACCCAUCAGCGGCGACGGGAGGGAUGAGUGGUCGCUGGUGCUGUCUGCCGAGACACUCCAGGCGUGUGUUGUGCCGCCACUGCCGGCUGGCUGCACCGCUCUCUGGGAGCUUGUUGAGGUGCUGCAGGACCUAGCCGACGCCUCGACAAAGGCAGAGGAGACGUUGGAGCCCCCUGCGACCGUGACGGAGUGGGUGUGGCUGGGCAGCCCUGAGGCCCUUUAUGAGACACUCGACGCAGCGCUGCUCAAGGCCAGCGGCAGCGACCCCGCUGCUGGAGUGCCCACGCGCCACGGAUACUACCUGUUGCCCUGGACCACUCUCGCCUACAGCCAUCAGCCGUGGCGCGUCUACGAUGAAAGUGGACAAGCGCGUCGUGCAGCCCAAGAAUGGGAGGCGAUGCUGCAGUCGUGGCUGACAGGCUCGUCAUCAAUAGACGGCGGCAAGGGGGUUCCGACCCGACGGCGCCAGCAGCCCGUUGUGCGGCUAGUUAGCCUGACGGAGGAAGUCUGUUUCUUCACCUGUAUGCAGCGAGCGUCGACCUUGCAUCUCAGCGCGGAUGUGCAUGUGGUGCGCGGCGAUGUGCAGAGGGAGGAGAGGGAGGUGGCUCCCACAGUUCGCCGCGUAUUGGCCGCAUCGCAGGCGGCCAGGAUAGCUGCGUCGUCGUCGGCGGCCGUGACGGAAAGCGCUGACUGGUAUACCGAGGAGGAUUACGACGGGCUGGAUUGAGCGACGCCGUCUUGCAGGCACUGAGGAAGAGGUAAGGGAAGGGGGUGGGGCGGGGCCCAACGGCAUGCGUGUGUGCAUAUCGAUGUCCACCGGGAUCUCGCGUGUGCCUGCGCUUCGCCACUCGUCCAGUUUGUUCUCCUGUUUUUUGCUUUCCAUCUUCCACCGACUUGAAGGUGCGUGAGCGCGUAGGACG